This 71-nucleotide transfer RNA is filed under the name Marmota marmota marmota (Alpine marmot). It matches the Rfam family "tRNA". From Rfam's summary of the family: Transfer RNA (tRNA) molecules are approximately 80 nucleotides in length. Their secondary structure includes four short double-helical elements and three loops (D, anti-codon, and T loops). Lineage: Eukaryota; Metazoa; Chordata; Mammalia; Rodentia; Sciuridae. The record is from Rfam by way of RNAcentral. RNAcentral also lists the same sequence under 1 other name.
GGGGUGGUGGCUCAGUGGUAGAGCGCUUGCCUAGCAUGUGUGAGGCACUGGGUUCAAUUCUCAGCACCUCA